This 692-nucleotide long non-coding RNA is filed under the name Sorghum bicolor (sorghum). RNAcentral's name for it is "long non-coding RNA (SBIC_LNC007845)". The record is from RNAcentral. Lineage: Eukaryota; Viridiplantae; Streptophyta; Magnoliopsida; Poales; Poaceae.
CGCUUCCAUGGGUCGAGGUAAGCUCCUCGGUUGUGACGGGUGCGGGUGCGGCUGCGCGCGGCGGCCGAUGUGGUAGAGGAAGAGAGCGCGCGCGGCGGCCGCGGCUCGUCGGUGGCGAUGCGGCGAGUGCGGCCGGCUUGGGGGAGUCGAGGCGACGUUGGGAGGCGAGGGGAGUCGAGGCGGCCGGGGCGUCGGGGUGGUCACCCGAGGCGGCGGCGGCGGCGUUGCGGCCGGUGGAGAGGGCGAGGGUGAGAGGGAGGGGCAGGGGCCGAUGGGCCGCCUGCCCAGCUGGGCCGGCCCACUAGUGGCCAGUGUUUUAUUUUUCUUAUUUUUUAUUUUUCUUAUAUGAUGUAUAUGAUGUAUAAUUGUCGUAAAUAAUUAUUAAUUGUUCUAAAUAAAUGUAUAUGAUGUAUUAUUAAUUAUUAGUUGUCCUAAAUAAUUAUUAAUUGUCCUAAAUAAAUGUAUAUGAUUUUUUAUUUUUCUUAUAAUUAUUAAUUAUCCUAAAUAAUUAUUAAUUAUUGUAAAUAAUUGUCCUAAAUAAAAUAUUAAUUAUUUUAUAAUGCAAUUAUUUAUAACGCAAUUAUUUACAAUGCAAUUAUAUAUAUAAGUAUGUAUAAAAAUAAUAAACAAUUAAUAUUUACUUUUAGUUUAAGUGUCUAUGUAUAUACAUUAUGCAUAUGCUAAGUAGUUAU